CAUCCUCCUUUUUCUCUUUCUCUCUCCUUCCAGCUUCAGCUGCACACAGGUGCAGCUACAGGCAAGGCAUGGAGGACAAUCCUAGAGUUUGGGGAAGGGGGGAAGCUGUCACUUUCACAGGCUAAUAAAGGAGAAAUGAAUCCCUCUUCCAGCAAUAACAGGGUUAUUCUGCUUCUCCUAUCAAGGCAAGUUCCGGACCUUAAGAUACAGCUGGAGAAACAAGCAAAAAUAACCAACAAUGCAGCCGUCCUAGCUUUGACUCAGUGGUUCUGGAGGAUCCUGAAUUUGUUUUUAUACAUGCCAUGCUCUCUAAUUUGUCUGCACAUUUCGGAUGGAAAAUAGUUCAAAUAGUCAUAUUUUUGAAGAAUUGAUUGGCAAGUGCUUGAAUCUCUGGCUGGAUUAGAGGGUGAGCUUACCACAAACAGUGACUUCUUAUAAACACUCCACAUACCACUGAAGAAAGGUUGCAUUCAGAUUAACAAAGGCAAAAACCAAACAGAUCCAAAAGGAGUGCUUGACCGUCCUGCCAAGGUUAUCCGGGGGAGCAUCCCUGAUUUAUAAGCAUUCAUCAAAGCUUCUACAAAUGAUCACAAGAGAGUCCCAUAUAGGAUUGUAGCGUAUUUUAAAAUUAAAGAAUGCCACAAUGACCACAAUAA
Podarcis raffonei (Aeolian wall lizard) is the source of this 656-nucleotide long non-coding RNA. RefSeq lists it as uncharacterized. The transcript has 2 exons. The record is from RefSeq and is a predicted model, not a curated record. Lineage: Eukaryota; Metazoa; Chordata; Lepidosauria; Squamata; Lacertidae.